This 304-nucleotide long non-coding RNA is filed under the name Chrysolophus pictus (golden pheasant). Its description in RNAcentral is "lncRNA (ENSCPIG00010010767.1)". Lineage: Eukaryota; Metazoa; Chordata; Aves; Galliformes; Phasianidae. The record is from RNAcentral.
CUCUAACAGCCCUUUGCUGUAUAGACUUGCCCCAUGCAUUAAUGAGACCCCAAAAGUUUAUGCAGGGAGAAGGAUAACGACUUGGGAUAUGAGCCAGAGCAUAACAUUUCAGGAGACAGAUGUUUUAGGUGUGCCUAGGACACUUCUUUCUCUGGACUACAGACUCCUGUGAAGUGCUUCCACUGACAUUCUGGCAAAGGCUGGAACAAGAAAAGGAAAUCUCCCCAGAGUUCGACCUGUAGGAUCAAACUCAUCAGCCCCCAAGUAAGAGAAACCUACUUACCCAUAAACAUGAUGGCUGCAA